RNAcentral lists this ribosomal RNA (274 nucleotides) under uncultured bacterium. RNAcentral's name for it is "partial 16S ribosomal RNA". It matches the Rfam family "Bacterial small subunit ribosomal RNA", at positions 523 to 796 of the family's 1533-position model. The record is from RNAcentral.
AUACGGAGGGGACAAGCGUUAUUCGGAAUCACUGGGCGUAAAGGACGCGUAGGCGGGUUAUUAAGUCGGGUGUGAAAUCCAAUGGCUCAACCAUUGAACUGCAUUCGAAACUGAUAACCUCGAGUAUGGAAGGGGCAGGUGGAAUUAGUGGUGUAGGGGUAAAAUCCGUAGAUAUCACUAGGAAUACCGAAAGCGAAGGCGACCUGCUGGGACAUUACUGACGCUGAGGCGUGAAAGCGUGGGGAGCAAACAGGAUUAGAAACCCGAGUAGUCC